This 612-nucleotide long non-coding RNA is filed under the name Elaeis guineensis (African oil palm). RNAcentral describes it as "long non-coding RNA (EGUI_LNC049256)". Lineage: Eukaryota; Viridiplantae; Streptophyta; Magnoliopsida; Arecales; Arecaceae. The record is from RNAcentral.
UUCUAAUGAACUCCGUUGUUAUGAUGAAGUCCUUAGGACUAUUUAAGUUCGAUAAAGAGAGGAUUUAUCGAUUAGUCCCUAAAACUGUUCACGACCAAAUGAUAAACUGUUAAUAAGGACGACAGCUUCUAUCGAGCAUAGGUCGCUGUAGGCUAUAUGGGUUGGUUGUCCUCUUAACCAAAGAGUGUGGAGACACUGGUAUGGCAUACAGGUGAGAUGUAAGGGUACAUCAUCAUUGAACGUGACCAACUCCAGAGCAUUCUGCUGUCAAGAAUGUCUCUGAUGGGAUAUAGGUAUAAGUGUCCCUUAGACCUGAGAUCGUCUCAGUGACUUGCAAGCAACUCACUGUGCUUUGGUACUGAACUAACUGAAUUUUUAAUUCAAAAAUGGAAGGCUUCUGGGCACAGUCAAGUACUUGCAAAGUCAGAGUGUGAUCGAGAUGGGAUUGACCACUCCAAGAGUUGGAAAAGAAUGAGUCGCUGUAUUUCAAUUUAGCAAAAUCUUGGCCAGGGUAAUCCAUCAGAUGGAUUUGAUAUUUUGAAAUACAAUGUGGACAACCUGAUCAGAGUUGACAGUUGAGCUCUGGGGUGUCCUAUGAUCAUUUUGGUCAAG